AUUUCUCGCCUGGCACUCGCCCGGGCUGCUGCUGCUGCUGCUGCCGCCGCGGCGGGGGCAGCUCGCAAACCUGUGGCGGUGACGUGAGCCCCGCCAACCCGGAAACGGCGGCGGAGGCACCGGAGGCUCCGAGGCUCCUGCGCUCCCGCGCCGCGCUCCCCUCGCCCGCCCGGGCCGCCAGGAGAAGAAACUGAGGCCUGGAAUUUGAUUAAUUCUUUCAAGGUUACCCAGUUGGUAAGUAACAGAGCUGGAAUUUGACCAUGGUCAUCUGGCUCCAGAGCCAGCACUCUUAACCACACUUCCUAUGAGGAAAAAUUAAAGUGGAUGGUGAUGGCUACAAGAUGGAUUUCAGUUGCAUAGAAAUAAGAACCUCCUACCUCUGUUGAAAUCAGAAUACAUAUACAUCCCUUCAUUCACUCUAUGAAUAUUCAUUCACUCCAUGAACCUACAAGGUUUUUAGGUCAAAUUAUUAGUUUAAAUAAGAACUACAGGCUGGGCGCA
Molecule: small RNA, 501 nt
Filed under: Pongo abelii (Sumatran orangutan)
Lineage: Eukaryota; Metazoa; Chordata; Mammalia; Primates; Hominidae
Description: processed transcript
Source: RNAcentral